GUGCUCACUUUGGAAGCACAUACACUAAAACUGAAACAAUACAGAGAAACUUAGCAUGGCCUCUGCACAAGGAUGACACACAAAUCCAUGAAGCAGUCCAUAUUUUU
This is a small nuclear RNA of Camelus dromedarius (Arabian camel), 107 nucleotides long. Lineage: Eukaryota; Metazoa; Chordata; Mammalia; Artiodactyla; Camelidae. The record is from Ensembl.